GACGAACGCUGGCGGCGUGCUUAACACAUGCAAGUCGAGCGGAAAGGCCCUUUCGGGGGUACUCGAGCGGCGCACGGGUGAGUAACACGUGAGUAAUCUGCCCUUCACUUGGGGAUAACCUCCGGAAACGGUGGCUAAUACCCGAUACGACCAUUCCUCGCAUGAGGUGGUGGUGGAAAGUUUUUCGGUGGGGGAUGUGCUCGCGGCCUAUCAGCUUGUUGGUGGGGUAAUGGCCUACCAAGGCUUCGACGGGUAGCCGGCCUGAGAGGGUGACCGGCCACACUGGGACUGAGACACGGCCCAGACUCCUACGGGAGGCAGCAGUGGGGAAUAUUGGACAAUGGGCGGAAGCCUGAUCCAGCAACGCCGCGUGAGGGAUGACGGCCCUCGGGUUGUAAACCUCUUUCACCUGUGACGAAGCGAAAGUGACGGUAGCAGGAGAAGAAGCACCGGCCAACUACGUG
Molecule: ribosomal RNA, 464 nt
Filed under: uncultured bacterium
Lineage: Bacteria
Description: partial 16S ribosomal RNA
Rfam family: Bacterial small subunit ribosomal RNA
Source: RNAcentral